CUUCCUCUUCUACUUCUUCUCUACUCCUUGUUUUCUUUUCAUUCUUUACAUUCUUCACACCAUUUCUAUUUCAGAAUAGUUCGGUGUUGUUUAAGAAUAGCAAGUUGA
Molecule: non-coding RNA, 108 nt
Organism: Arachis ipaensis
Lineage: Eukaryota; Viridiplantae; Streptophyta; Magnoliopsida; Fabales; Fabaceae
Source: RefSeq, a predicted model, not a curated record